UUAAGCAGAUACUAGUGGUGUGCACUGGUCCAGAUGCACAGGUUAAAAUAUUGAAGCAUUUCUUAACAGACUGUGCUUCUAUGAACCCCCCAGCCUCCCAAGUGCUUCCAUCACCCCAGUCCCUCCCUAGGACUUUGGAUCUCCUGGCCAUCCAGCAACUAAAGAGUUCACGUUGGCUCUGGCUCUACUGUCGCCAGAGCAGAUGACGAGGAGACCAAGACCAGGAGAGACUAGCGCCUCGUCCAGGGUCCACCUUGGAGACGGCAAGUAGCAGAGCCCAGAGCUGAACCCCGCCAGAGGCUCCACUAUGCUACAGUCACACACAAAUCUCUCCCUCCACAUCGUCCAGACCAGCCCAGACAUGGAGCUGCAGCCUGCUGGCACGUGUUCAUGCACACGCCUCCCCUUGCCUGCAGCCUGCGUAGACAUGGAGCAAUCACAGCCUUCCACCAUCUCCCUUCUGCUACCCCGCCAGCCUGGGGCCAGCUGACACAAGCCCAGGUCCUCGCAAAGACCCAGUCGUUCCUCCCUCAGACCCAGGAGUCUGGCCCCACUCACCCCGGCUCACUCUCUGUUUGGCGCCCGACAGGAUGCCCGGCGUGUCGAUGAUGCUAAUGCUCUCCAGGACCUGAUUGGGGAGCUGGGCACACAUGAACCUGAGCCGGAAGAGAAGGCAGGGGUCAACACGGGGAGGCCAGGAGGGGAGCACACAUUAGAAGGGAAACCAGAUCCACAGAGGUGGAUCAGGUACAGAGAAGCACGGGAUCUUGAAAGAUCAGAACAGAGAAUAAUAACUAUUAAAAAAAAAACACACACACACACAACUCAGAGCUGAUGUUUACUGAGCACUUACUUUGUGCCAGGUGCCAUUCUAAGCACUUUAUACAUGAGUGCGGACUAUGGUUAUCUCCAUUUUCCAGGUGAGGAUAAAAGAGGCACAGAGAGGUUAGGUCAUUUGCCCCAGGCCCCCCACGUGGAAAGGAGCUGGACCCAGGCAAGCUGGCUUCACUGCUCCCCUAGAGGAGGCCAGAGAGCAGAGGCAGGAAAUAGAAGGAUCAGGAAGAGAAGGGAAUUGGAGCUGAAAAGGAAGAAACACAGGCAGGGAGGGAUGCAGGCAGGCAGGGGACAGGAAGAUGCACCCCUGCCUCUCAGGCUGCGCACCUGUUGAGGAAGGUGUUCCCGAAAGGGUUGAGCUUGCGGAAAGGCUUGUCCGGGUCAACGACCAGGGCGUUGCCUGGCACGGUGCCCUCGGUGUCCCCAUGCAUGACGGCCACGAAGCAGUCGGUGGUGGGCUCGGGCCCCACGCGGGAGCCUGGCACUUCCUGCUCCAGCAGGUACUGGAUGAAGCUGGUCUUGCCUGUGCUGUACUGGCCCGCCACCAGGACCAUGGGCUUGCCGUCGAAGUCGGCAUCCUCCAGGGCCGGCGAGUGGAAGGCGCCGAAUCGGUAAUGCUCCUCGAGAGGCAGCAGCUUGGUGCGGUACAGCUCCUUGAGGGACGAGGUGACCGUGCGGAUGGCCUCAGGCUGCUGGCCCCGCGCCCCGCCCCGCUUCAGCCAGCUGAACAUGGUGGCUGCACACUGUCCACUGGGCUCUGGGCUCACGACGGAGACGUGCAGGGGAGAGCUGCCUGCAAGAGGACGGCAGGGUGUUGAUGGGGGGGCUGCCUGGCAGAGGAGGAGAAGGACAAGGAAGGGAGCCGGAAGGUGCAACGGGUGGAGGAGGCUGGGGGGAUUGGUAGAGGAGGAGCAGCAGAGAGCCCUGGAGGGCAGGAGGUGACGGUUCAUGGAGGAGGAAGGUGAUUAUUCCAGAGGGAGGAAGAGAAAGAGAUUAACAGUGGGAUGAUUGAAGAAGCAGGACUGAUGGUGGGAGACCAAGGGAUGGACAAGGGGAAGCAGCUGCCUCGAAGAAAUGUAUUCCUUCACUGGUUCAUUCUUUACUUCCUCUCUCCCCCUCUGCUAUCAUUUCACACAUUUUCACUAAAAUCACCUCAUGUGUCAGGCACUAUGGAUCCAGAAAUAGGCCUGAGACUGGCUCCCUACCCACUCAAGGCCCCCAUUGAGGAGGGGACCUGGCACCAAGCAGUGAUGCCUGGGAAAUGCCGGGCAGUGGACUUGUGGGCACAAGAUGGGGACAUAGUGAGCUGACCACAGGGUUAGCAAACUCUGAGCUGAACGGCUCCCCUCCAUGCACAAUAGGGCUACCGUGCAAGACGGGCAGGGAGGAUGGUGUGUGCCGAGGCCCAGAGCUGUGAAAUGCAUGGAGGGAUAGCUGGACACAGGAGAGCUGAGAAAUAAGGCAGAGGAGUUGCCUGGGUGCACCCAGGUCAUGAGGGGCCUCAAGCGAUCACAAGAGUAAUAACAUUUAUGAUCACUGCAUGCCAGACACUGCUCUAACUCAUCUAAUCUUCAUAACAACAUUGUAAGGUAGGACAAUUUAUCCCCACAUUUCUGACUCACAAGGGGGUUCAGGAAGAUAGCAAUAACUUAUCCAAGAUCACUCAGUUAGAAAGCGCUCAGUCUGGGAUUCCAGGCAACCUGACCUUGGAACCUGUGCUCCUA
This is a long non-coding RNA of Canis lupus familiaris (dog), 2558 nucleotides long. RefSeq lists it as uncharacterized. NCBI's taxonomy places the organism in Eukaryota, Metazoa, Chordata, Mammalia, Carnivora, Canidae. The transcript is spliced from 3 exons. The record is from RefSeq and is a predicted model, not a curated record.